CGGCCACUGCCAGCUUAAACCAACAACUCCGUUUGUUGUUUCAUUGAUUUUUCUGUAUUUUCUCAAAGAUUCCACGACGUCACAGGUAUUCGACGGCGAUUCCUCCGGCGAGAUCCAUAAUCUUGAACUCCCUAUGUUUGAUAAUGUUCGUUACCAUUCGCAUUUAGAUGGUAGAGCUCAUUCGUGUGGCUGGAAGGCGGCGGACUGAUGGAAAUCGGAGUUUUCGCGCUAGAUACAGGUUUGGUAACUGAUAUUUCAUGGUCUAUGUACUUCGAGCUUUCUGGUGUGCGGCAUGAGUGAAUGAGAGAACUCUGGCUUUUGCUACAGUAAUCUGUAAUAUGGAAAAAAUAACUCAUGAACAUCUUGAUCUUAACAAUGAAAGCAUGUUCAGAGUAAACUUAUGUUUCAGACACUGAGAAUAGGCAGAAGAAGAGCAGCUGAUUAAAAAUAUCUAGAGAACUGAUGGAACAACUUUAUCACUCUUGAUUUAGAAUUGAAGCCCCAAUUGUAUGUUGUUGUCUAGAAAUGGAGAUGAAGAUAUUUCACUUGUUAUGGACAUUAUUAUUUGUUGUUUCACUCCUCUUCAUCAAUAAAGACUUUCUUCCAUCUAUUAUUAGCUAAAAUAAUAAAUGUUGCUAGUUGUAUGAAUUAUUAGAAUUUAUUUGUGGUAACAUGGGAUGAAAAUGUUACCAUAUGAUGUUUAUUUAUAUUAUUUUUUCAAUA
Benincasa hispida (wax gourd) is the source of this 723-nucleotide long non-coding RNA. RefSeq lists it as uncharacterized. The record is from RefSeq and is a predicted model, not a curated record. NCBI's taxonomy places the organism in Eukaryota, Viridiplantae, Streptophyta, Magnoliopsida, Cucurbitales, Cucurbitaceae.